This 477-nucleotide ribosomal RNA is filed under the name uncultured bacterium. Its description in RNAcentral is "bacterial SSU rRNA". It matches the Rfam family "Bacterial small subunit ribosomal RNA", at positions 365 to 832 of the family's 1533-position model. The record is from RNAcentral.
UUCGCAAUGCCCGAAAGGGUGACGAAGCGACGCCGCGUGUGGGAAGAAGGCCUUCGGGUUGUAAACCACUGUCGGGAGUUAAGAAAUGCAAGGAUAUUAAUAGUGUCUUUGUUUGACUAAGGCUCCGGAGGAAGCCACGGCUAACUCUGUGCCAGCAGCCGCGGUAAUACAGAGGCGGCAAGCGUUGUUCGGAAUUAUUGGGCGUAAAGAGCACGUAGGCGGCUAUGUAAGUCGGUUGUGAAAGCCUUCCGCUCAACGGAAGAACAGCAUCCGAUACUACAUGGCUUGAGUGCGGGAGGGGAGAGUGGAACUUCUGGUGGAGCGGUGAAAUGCGUAGAUAUCAGAAGGAACGCCGGCGGCGAAAGCGGCUCUCUGGCCCAUAACUGACACUGAGUGUGCGAAAGCUAGGGGAGCAAACGGGAUUAGAUACCCCGGUAGUCCUAGCCGUAAACGAUGGGCACUAAGUAGAGGGGUUUU